This 49-nucleotide transfer RNA is filed under the name Prunus americana (American plum). RNAcentral's name for it is "partial tRNA-Leu". Lineage: Eukaryota; Viridiplantae; Streptophyta; Magnoliopsida; Rosales; Rosaceae. The record is from RNAcentral.
AAAAUCCGUCGACUUUAGAAAUCGUGAGGGUUCAAGUCCCUCUUCCCCA